UACGUAGGGGGCGAGCGUUGUCCGGAUUCAUUGGGCGUAAAGAGCUCGUAGGCGGCUUGGCAAAUCGGGUGUGAAAACUCCAGGCUCAACCUGGAGAUGCCACCCGAUACUGCUAUGGCUUGAGUUCGGUAGGGGACCACGGAAUUCCUGGUGUAGCGGUGAAAUGCGCAGAUAUCAGGAGGAACACCUAUUGCGAAGGCAGCUCGCUGGGACGUUACUGACGCUGAGACGCGAAAGCGUGGGGAGCAAACAGG
Molecule: ribosomal RNA, 254 nt
Filed under: uncultured bacterium
Lineage: Bacteria
Description: partial 16S ribosomal RNA
Rfam family: Bacterial small subunit ribosomal RNA
Source: RNAcentral